UACGUAGGGUGCGAGCGUUAAUCGGAAUUACUGGGCGUAAAGCGUGCGCAGGCGGUUUUGUAAGCCAGAUGUGAAAUCCCCGGGCUUAACCUGGGAAUGGCAUUUGGGACUGCAAGGCUUGAGUGCGGCAGAGGAGACUGGAAUUCCUGGUGUAGCAGUGAAAUGCGUAGAUAUCAGGAGGAACACCGGUGGCGAAGGCGGGC
This 203-nucleotide ribosomal RNA is filed under the name uncultured bacterium. RNAcentral's name for it is "partial 16S ribosomal RNA". It matches the Rfam family "Bacterial small subunit ribosomal RNA", at positions 524 to 726 of the family's 1533-position model. The record is from RNAcentral.